UGAAGAAGGUGAGGUUGUUGAGAAGACAGCAUGAAAAUGUGGUAGGCCGGAAGCAAGAAGAGAACUUCCAGCAGCAACCCGGUUUGUUAAAAUUUUGAAGCCAACUCAUUAGUCGGAAACCAGAGAAUAUGGAUCAAAACACAUGAUACAGACGAGAUGGUGAGCACGGUGACCAUGCAGAUGAAAUAAAACUUGGAUGGGCUUUGUACGAACAUGGAGGCUCAGAUGAAGGAAUUGAGAAUUUGAGAUGAGGAUUUUUGUGCUGUGCCGUUAUAAAUUUCUUGCCAGAAUUUGGGGGCAGAAGAGAUGAGGGUUGUUCUGUCCUGUGUUCAAGCACAGAGUUUACCCACUGGCUGGGUGAAGAACCUGGAUGCCAUGGUUACUUGAACACCACCAGAAUACAGUAGUAUGAAAUGCGGUUCUACAUUAUGGGCUCUGCUUCUACCUAAAGGAUUAAGGUACUGUUUCAUUUUGGUGAUGGGGGGCAUGUACAAUGACUGAAAGUAGUCAGCUGAACGUGCAAUAGGAAAACUAUUACUACCUCCGUCCUAAAAUGUAGCUAUUUCUAGCACAGUACUUUGUCCCAAAAUGAAGUUAUUUUUCUACCUACCUUCUCCUCUCAACCAAUCACAAGCAUUCUUUUUCACCUAUUUUCUCUUUUCAACUAAUCACACACCUUUUUCAAUCAUUCUCACCUACUUUCUUAAUACCCGUGCCAACCUUAAAAAUGCUUACAUUUUGGGACGGAGGAAGUAAUUGAUGCACGGGUUGUACAUAACUAUAUAUUAUGCUGUAUUCGCAAUGAAGUUUAUGAAAUAGUAUUGCCACUAGGCAUUAGUAGCUUGCUCAACGGUGCACGUACACUUUAAAAGGUUUUGUGUGACGCGCUUGCAGCCACGUUGAAACAACAAAGUACGUCGUACAUACAGCAUAAUGAUUUGGUCCCAGUUUGGAGUUCUGUUUCUAUUGAAUCUGUACCGAUCCCAAUCGUAGAUGCACCUGCCUACAUGAUCCAACAGAAAAGCAACGAAUAACUCUAUACGCGAACAAAUCUACGUCUUUGCAGAAGAUCCAUUAAUUCAUACGGAGAAUCAGUACAGCUAGCUUACUUGAAUGCUGCGUGCAUCCAUGGAUGAUGGAUCCGCCUUGAUUCCUCAAAUCAGGCGUCAACUUGACCGUGCGCUGAUCAGCCGAUCACCGAAUCCAUCCACAGGACGCACAAUCCGCUGUACCGCACGUAGCACGUAGGUAGGCGGCCGCCGGCCGGACGGACGGUGGAGGCGAGCAACUAACCGGCCAACCGGUGCCGGCGGCACAUCAAGGCGUCGGUGCGGCCGGGCAGACAGAGAGGGGAUAUCAUGGGCGGGCCCGGCGCGACGAGCGAGAGCCGAGCCCGAGAGGCAUACGCACCGCGUCAGAUGUAAA
This 1425-nucleotide long non-coding RNA is filed under the name Oryza sativa (Asian cultivated rice). RNAcentral's name for it is "long non-coding RNA (OSAT_LNC000830)". The record is from RNAcentral. Lineage: Eukaryota; Viridiplantae; Streptophyta; Magnoliopsida; Poales; Poaceae.